AUGUGCUAAUACCGCAUAAUCUCUGAGGAGAAAAGCAGGGGAUCGAAAGACCUUGCACUUUUGGAGCGGCCGAUGUCUGAUUAGCUAGUUGGUGGGGUAAAGGCCUACCAAGGCAUCGAUCAGUAGCUGGUCUGAGAGGACGACCAGCCACACUGGGACUGAGACACGGCCCAGACUCCUACGGGAGGCAGCAGUGGGGAAUUUUGGACAAUGGGCGCAAGCCUGAUCCAGCCAUGCCGCGUGAGUCAAGAAGGCCUUCGGGUUGUAAAGCUCUUUCAGUCGGGAAGAAAAGAUUGCGACUAAUAAUCGUGAUCAAUGACGGUACCGAAAGAAGAAG
RNAcentral lists this ribosomal RNA (337 nucleotides) under uncultured beta proteobacterium. RNAcentral's name for it is "bacterial SSU rRNA". It matches the Rfam family "Bacterial small subunit ribosomal RNA", at positions 158 to 490 of the family's 1533-position model. Lineage: Bacteria; Pseudomonadati; Pseudomonadota; Betaproteobacteria. The record is from RNAcentral.